RNAcentral lists this transfer RNA (71 nucleotides) under Marmota monax (woodchuck). RNAcentral describes it as "tRNA.Ala". It matches the Rfam family "tRNA". Rfam says of the family: Transfer RNA (tRNA) molecules are approximately 80 nucleotides in length. Their secondary structure includes four short double-helical elements and three loops (D, anti-codon, and T loops). Further hydrogen bonds mediate the characteristic L-shaped molecular structure. tRNAs have two regions of fundamental functional importance: the anti-codon, which is responsible for specific mRNA codon recognition, and the 3' end, to which the tRNAs corresponding amino acid is attached (by aminoacyl-tRNA synthetases). tRNAs cope with the degeneracy of the genetic code in two manners: having more than one tRNA (with a specific anti-codon) for a particular amino acid; and 'wobble' base-pairing, i.e. permitting non-standard base-pairing at the 3rd anti-codon position. Lineage: Eukaryota; Metazoa; Chordata; Mammalia; Rodentia; Sciuridae. The record is from RNAcentral.
GGGGUUGUAGCUUAGUGGUAGAGCAUUUGUGUAGCACACAUGAGGCACUGGGUUCAAUCCCCAGCACCACA